CCGUUCCGCACGCGCACGUGCUGCAACUUUAACGGUUGCGUUGCAACUUUUUCCAGCGCCGGGCUUGGGGUCCAGCAAGAGCGCUCAGAUAAAUGUUUCCUAGCUCGCUCUGCUCUGCCGCCAACUUUGAAACGUUCACCAAGUCACUGCAAACAACGAAAGCAGCUCAGUACUCGGAAUCCUGAGUUCCGUGCAGCCACACCUUGAGGAGCCGUUUCGUGUUUCGCGUGCAACCUAAUUCAGAACCAUCGAUUCUACCGUCCAGAUUCCUACUUGGUCUGGUCAAUGUUGAGUGCCCUGACCGUAUCUAAUGAGCCUCUACAUGCGAGCCUGGGGCGUCUGAGUCCACACUUCAAAAAUGUCAAGGUGGUAGGCUACCGGGGAAGACUGAAGAAAACAUCCUGGAUUCAAGGGAAGUAAAGAGACAGGACAAUAAAUGCCAGGUGGGAUCCUCUGCUGGAUAUAGGACCAGAAAAGGGAAGCAGUGGAAAACCAGAGGAGUCCUGUGAAUCCAGUCUGGAAAUCCAUAGUACUGGCAUUACAGGGUGUGCAACAGAAGAUGAGAAAUUUGCUGUCAACCCUUGUAACUACCUGUGCCACACAGAAGCAAUUAAUACGGAAAGGCAAGGAGGAAGGUGCCACUGACUAAGCCCCUGCUUUACACUGAGAAUGUGCUGACUGAAUCGGUAUAGACUCCUUUCUGCAGACAAGAGAUUCACGCUCCAGGACUGAUCUGACUUGUCUGAGCUCAGGCGGUAGGAGGGGGCACUCGGAUGCCAGUGGGCUUCAUUCCAAGAUCCAGGCUCUAUUAUACCUCAUGGCCUCCCAAAUCAAAAUAAAAUUUGCUUACAGAGCCUGCGACAACUGAGAGGUGUCCAGUGGAGUGGAGGGUGGAAAGCUGGUAUCCCCUAGAAGGAAGGACUGCUAGAGAGACCCAGGAGAACUCUUAAUAUAGGACAACAGAGAGGUUGUCAUGCACUCCGCUUCCAGAAGAACUGGAAGUGGAGUGUUUCGAGGAGUCUCCCUAGUAGGGUCAGCAUGCGCCAAGGAGAAAGACCAGGAGUGGGAGCUAAGAGCAGGGGAGAGGAGAAUCAUACCAAGCUGACUAAGGAAGCCUCUUUGAGCAUAUUUAUCUCAAAGUGAAGUACUGGGGACCCUUCUAAAAUUCUGUCAUUACACUAGGUGCUGCGGACUGGUCUAGGACACAGAAGUGGGGACUGCAUGCCUUUUGAAAAUGUUUUUUGACCACUACAAGAGGCUCCCAUGUGAAUAAAUGAGUCCUGCUCAUUUAAUUUCUUCCAGCAACUGUCAUAUUAUCAGUGAGACAGAGAAACAGAGACAGAGACAUGGAUGCAGAGAGAGAGAAAGUAAAAGGAAAAAAAAAAAAAAAAAAGAUCAUUUGAAGGAAGAAUACUUCUCACAGAUGGAUACUGCACCCUUCCAGAACUCAACUGUCCAGUGAAUACAUGUUUCUGGGGGUACACAGCCAAGGACCAGAAAGAAGCUAGAUCUCACAGCCUAUUUAGUCUUACAUACAAUUCUAACAAGCUUGGAAAUCCAUUUUAAAAGUACCCACAGCAAAGAGGAAACAGCAAAUAAUCACCUACAGAGGGGCUGACAGAGCUUUCUUGUCUUAUGGCAGUAAGUCUAUUAAACAGAAAUGGGGACAUAAAAAUGAUAAAGCCAAACCAUAAGAACACAAUAAACAUGAGGAAUCUUCAGUAUAGGGCAAACUGCCUCCCACUAUGCCUUGGGGCUAUCACCGUACUAUGCAUAAUACAACAAUAUAUGUUCACUGAUGUCCUCAAGUUGGCCAGAAAUUAUUAAAUUAUAUUCACUAGAGGAAGAAGCCAAGAAGUACAUAAUUUAUGUUGGAAAGAUUUCUAGCAUGACAGUGUGCAUGACAGUGGUAAUCUCCAUGAUCCCUACAGCUUUUAUAGUAUUUGUCUAUUCAUUCCUUCAAUUGACAAAUUAUUGAUUGAGCAGAUUGGAGGGACUGCUGUGACAGGGUUCCUGCUCUCAUGGAAUUCACAAUCUUGUUUGUACCUAAGAUGCUCAAAACCCACAUUUCUACCCAGAUGGCUUGCACAAGUGUCUGGACUUUUGCAGUCAGUGCUAUGUACUGAGUUUUCAAGAAGUUUUAACUUAUUUUUUGGAUUUAAGCAAUAGAAAUUUGCCCAAGUCUUUGAUCAAACAGGAAUCAAAGAGUAGUCAAUACCUGAAGAACCAGUACCCAUGACCAAGAUUUUUGUGCAGGCAAAGCUGCAUGCCUAACAAUACAAGAGGCCAGCAAAACUACAAUUCCUGAGUUUGCCAGUUCUUCCUCCUUAUAGAGGAAAUUAAUUCCAUACACACACACACAUUAUUAUAUUUAGGCUAUGACAUCCUAUACCUGAAUCACACUACAAUUAAUGUAUUUAAGAAUGUGACAUGUAUAUUUUAGGUAGUGAUUCCUUUUUUUUUUUUUUAAAGGAAAAGUCUUAAGUAUCUUGAUAUUAUUUUGAAAAAUUUAGAGGGUCACAAAAAUCUUAACUUAAUCAGAUAGCCUAGAUAGAGUAAAAUGACUUUUCAUUUUCUUAUUGUUUUAGGAACCAACCCUCGAGGUUCUUUCCCCUCUUGUGGGCAAACCUUAAAAACUAGAAAUUUUUGUUUGUUUAAAGAUUUUAUAUAUUUAUUUGAGAGACAGAGGGAGAGGAAGAGGGAGACAAAGUCCCAAGCCGACUACAUGCUUAGUGGGGAGACGGACACAGUUUUCAAUCUCAUGACCUUGAGAUGAUGACCUGCACCAAAACCAAGAGUUGGAUGCCUAACCGACUAUACCACCCAGGCACACAGCGAGAGAGAGAGAGAGAGAGAGAGAGAGAGAGGCAGAGACACAGGCAGAGGG
Long non-coding RNA from Canis lupus familiaris (dog), 2887 nucleotides. RefSeq lists it as uncharacterized. The transcript is spliced from 4 exons. NCBI's taxonomy places the organism in Eukaryota, Metazoa, Chordata, Mammalia, Carnivora, Canidae. The record is from RefSeq and is a predicted model, not a curated record.